Molecule: unclassified non-coding RNA, 669 nt
Filed under: Athalia rosae (coleseed sawfly)
Lineage: Eukaryota; Metazoa; Arthropoda; Insecta; Hymenoptera; Athaliidae
Description: misc RNA ENSAEAG00005007580.1
Source: RNAcentral
CAGGCACAGCACCUGAGACACCUCGAGUGCCAAGUUCGUCCUCCCACGCAAAGGACGGUCCGCUCUCGAACCCUGUCGCCGCAUCCCCCGCACUCCAUCGUCGCAGUUACCGUUGGAAGUUCUGUACCAACCCCCGUUGCUGGUGCCACCGUUUGUCCCGCAGCCACAGCGCAUACUUCAGCGGCGACGUCCUCCACCUCCGUCUGAAAUAGAAGGUCGGUUCCGUUCGUACGAUAACAACUCCGACAUCGAGUCCGUCCCACACGUUGCGCUCGCUCGCGGUGCACACCCUGCACGUGUUGUACCAUCGGGGCUGGACAGAAAAAAAAGGUAGAAACACCGUUCGGCAAGCCAGGGAAAUUCCGACAGGAUUCUCUGCUCUCUGAAAACAUAUUCAUCCCGAUCCCGGAUCGUCGAUCGAAGAAUUAUACUUCACAAACGCCGGAGUUGCCUGGUUCUUUGCGAUACGGAUCCAUUUUCAAAUACCAUACCUACGCUGUGCUGAAAAAUUCGUCUGAAGGUAAGAAAUGAUUGCUAUUGAGUAUUCGUUAACUUGUAAUGAGAUCGGCAGCGGUCUGUUUAAUUUACAUUCCUAGAGACAAAAUGCAUUCAGUGAGCGUACUAGGAUUGGAAUUCUAAAAAUUCGCGCAAUCGUCGCGUCUAUGAUUG